GGGCACGUAGCUCAGUAGGACAGAGCGUUGGCCUCCGGAGCCAGAGGUCGUGGGUUCGAAUCCCGCCGUGCCCUCCA
Molecule: transfer RNA, 77 nt
Filed under: Thermosulfuriphilus ammonigenes
Lineage: Bacteria; Pseudomonadati; Thermodesulfobacteriota; Thermodesulfobacteria; Thermodesulfobacteriales; Thermodesulfobacteriaceae
Description: tRNA-Arg
Rfam family: tRNA
About the family: Transfer RNA (tRNA) molecules are approximately 80 nucleotides in length.
Source: RNAcentral